CUAUAGUAUACGUCACGUGUACUAUAUAUUUCGAGUAAAAUUUUCCUCAGAGAGGAAGUUUUGGAACGUAGCCUAAAUAUCAAUUUAUUAUCUCGGGAUCAAUUCUCUGUAUCUUGAAACGAGAUACAGAAUCGAUCCCCUCCAGUCUUGAAAAGUGAACGAUACCGAAGAAAAGUGGACGUUGCUAUGUAGUUUACAAGAAUUUUUCGUCAAGGCUGCAACCUAUAAAAGAUUUCGAUCAAAAGUUUGGCAUGAAUUGAAAAGGACAGAUUAGAGAUCACGAAUUGGAAUGCUGAGACGGUGUGAGG
Acromyrmex echinatior (Panamanian leafcutter ant) is the source of this 308-nucleotide long non-coding RNA. RefSeq lists it as uncharacterized. The record is from RefSeq and is a predicted model, not a curated record. Lineage: Eukaryota; Metazoa; Arthropoda; Insecta; Hymenoptera; Formicidae.